Long non-coding RNA from Canis lupus familiaris (dog), 3056 nucleotides. RefSeq lists it as uncharacterized. The transcript has 3 exons. NCBI's taxonomy places the organism in Eukaryota, Metazoa, Chordata, Mammalia, Carnivora, Canidae. The record is from RefSeq and is a predicted model, not a curated record.
CCAGUCCUCUGGGCGAGCGCUCUGCAGGAAGCCGAGCCGGGCGCACACGUGCUGCUCGUUAAACCAGGGCCUCUGUGACCCCCCAGUCCCGGCCCAGCCGCCCAGAGGCCUCAUCCGGUCCCCAGGGGCAUGAGCGGAGUCCAGGGCGGCCGGAGGAGCAGGGACGGGGACCAGUCCACUGGAGGAGUCUAAUGACCCCACAAGGCGAUACCAGCAGCCACUGGAGACUAAUACCCAGGCCGUGUCCAUCUCUUCUCACUUGACCUGUGAGCUGAAGCGGACUCCAAGCAGUGUAAGUAAUGCCGCGACAGACACCUGCACCCUCUGCACUCAUGGUGCUUCCCGUCGUGCCAGCCGUGUGCCCCCAGCCCAGGACCGCCGGUUCCAAGUGUUUCCCGGGCUGCUGCUGUAUUGGUUUCCAACAGCACCACCCCAGCCCCACUCAGUCAAGCGUGAACAGUGGCUCUCACUGUGGCUCAUUGCGAGACGUCCUUGGCAGCUUUGAAGGACAGCUUGCUUCAGCCCUGGGUACGUGGGCAGGGGCUGUAGCUCCCCUGGGGCCCCCACGGGGCUCGGCUUCCCAACACUGAUGGGCUGAACCCACCACCUGCCUGUGGGGCCACCUCUUGGGCUCCGUCCAUUCGGAGUUCCCAGCUGGGGUUGGGGGGGAGGUACAGCUCACGAUCAUGUCGUGCAGGCCUGCCUGUGGAUCACUGGCCCCUGCAGGAGAGCCGAUGGGAUCAACAUGAGCCAGCACAGGAAAGACAUAGCCAUGGUUGCUACCGGUCAGGCCCCCAUUCCUGGGUCCCCACCCCCGCCCCGUGGUUAGAACCUGACAGGGCUCCUGUCCAAGAACCAUGAGAGCCCCUUGCCCUCCUACCUGCCUCUGUCUCCCCUCCCACACUAUGGGUGUACAUCGGUGCCCAGCCCAAGCUCAGGAGAACCACACGGAUGCUCGGAGGGCCAGCCAGCUGGGAGAGUGGGCGCCAGAAGGCCAUCAUCCACAGCCCUCGGAGACCAAACCUGGGUCCCCACCUCCUGGGCCCUGCAGAUGGCUGAGACCUCGGCCUUUGUGAGGCCAGAGGGCCCCCGCCACCCUCCCUCCUGCAGGCACCUAGGAGGGAGCAUCCCGGUGAAGGCCCGGCUGUGCAUGGAGCGCGGCCUCCCUCUGCUGGCGCCUGCAUGCAAUGACCAUGGGCGGUCACCCCAGGAGGCCACUCUCAGAACAGCUCAGGAUCCCAGGGCCACAGGCCUUGGAUGGUGGGGGGCCGUGGAAGCUGAGACCGCAGAUGCCCUCCACCCAGUCAGCGCUGCCGACCUGGCCCUACAAGGGUGCUGGCCAAGGCAGGCAGAGCCACCUCCACUGAGCACAAACAAUGAGCCAGCAAGCCCUGGGCUCCAGAGGAUGGUGUCCCGGACCCCUACGGGCACAGAGUCAGUACCACUAACCUGCUUCACUGGGAAGGAAACUGAGUCCCCCACAGGGACAGUGAUCUGUGGGUGAGGCUAUCAGGGCAUCCUCGCCCACUGCCCGGAGGAGAUAUGAGGACAUGGAGCACCAGCAUGCUCACUGGCCCUUCCUGGAGCUCUUCCCUCCACAGGCUGCCUGGGCUAGGGCUGCCUGGACUGGGGUGCCCUAGGGGCACUGCCUGGCAGUGGAAGGGGCUGAGGAGGACCUCAGACCCUGGGGCCCAGACACUGCCUCCCAUCCCAUCAGACCUCCUAAAGCGGCGGGUGGGCAGAAGCCAGCAGGGGCACUGAGGGAGAGGUGCCAGCUGCAGGCAUCUGGGUUUGGGCCAGGUCUAGGGGUCCCCCUUCCUGUACACUACGGGGCCUGUCCCUGGAAGCUGUCUCCCCACCCUGCCCACCCCUCUGUCGGCUCUAGGCCUGACUCCACCACAGACCAGCAUCCACACUCCCAACCUGCAUGCUCCCACACCCAGCCCCUGACCCAAGAGGCCAUAGGAGGCCCAGCACCCCUCCCCUACUCCCUGGGGCCUGGUGGCUCCUCUCUGGAGCUGAAUGCCAGGCUUGGCUCAGAGACUGCGACCUCUGGGUCCCACCCCACCACCCCUCCCCCCAACACCCAGGGUGGCGACCAGCAGAUCUCACAGCCCAGGCAGAUGAAGGGCUUCUCUCAUCACCAUUGUGAGCUGCUGCCCCAGCUCCAGAGAGAGGGGCCUGGUGGUCUCAGCAGGAAUAAACAGCAGGCCGACUGUUUAUCUGUCCUGACGGCAAAAGCUGGGACGUCUCUGUGCACUGGGCCAUCAUUGCUGGGGAGUCGGGGGGCGGGGGAGGCUGUAGCCAGAAGCUGGCUGGAGCUGGGCCAAACUGGGAACCCAAGAUUGAGCUCACCUCGGCCCCGCCCAGCUUGCUGGGAGUGUGGGGUCACCACUUCUGCCCGCCUCCUGAUCCCUGGACCCCCGGCCCCCAGUUCCAGCUGGGCCUGUUCUGGAAGUGAAAGACCCAUAGGAAAGAGACGGCAUCUGUUCCGGGCAUCCCAGACAUCCUCGGCGCCAUGUGGUUCCAGGUGUUCCGUGCUUUCUCUCUGAACAACCUCAAACCAGCGUGUGGCAGGAUGGACACAAGGUGCCCUGGCCUACAGCCAGCCAAGCCCCAAGCACAGGAAGACCCCGCAGACCUGUGGCCACCCUCCCGGAGCCACUGCUGACCAAGGACACAUGAAUGUUCUCAGUGCUGAUUGUUUUAAGCCACUGAGGUAGUUUGUUACACAGCUUUAGCUGACUGAUGCAGAUGGGAUCAUUGGAAGACAAAAGAGUCAGAGACAAAUAUAUAAAGUAAUGAGAAUGUCCUCACAAUUUUCUAAAAUACUGAGACUCAAUAGAGCUUUUAUUUUAUUCCAUGACAUUUCACUUUUUUUAUACAAUACUUUUUUUGAAAUUCAUUUAUCUGCUAAUACCUUAUUUUAGAAUAAUAGUGUAUAUUUGAUACAUACAGUUCCACAAAUUUGUAUAUUUUCCUCAUUUUUUAAUAUGCAUGAACAUUUUUAUAUCUCAAAUGUGGAAAAUAUUUCAUUUCUUAGAAUGUACUAAAUG